GGGGAAUAUUGCGCAAUGGGGGAAACCCUGACGCAGCAACGCCGCGUGAAGGAAGAAGGCCUUCGGGUCGUAAACUUUUGUCUUAGGGGACGAUAAUGACGGUACCCUAGGAGGAAGCCACGGCUAACUACGUGCCAGCAGCCGCGGUAAUACGUAGGUGGCAAGCGUUGUCCGGAAUUACUGGGUGUAAAGGGCGCGUAGACGGGCAUAUAAGUCAGAUGUGAAAUACCGGGGCUCAACUCCGGGGCUGCAUUUGAAACUAUAUGUCUUGAGUGCAGGAGAGGAAAGCGGAAUUCCUAGUGUAGCGGUAAAAUGCGUAGAUAUUAGGAGGAACACCAGUGGCGAAGGCGGCUUUCUGGACUGUAACUGACGUUGAGGCGCGAAAGCGUGGGUAGCAAAC
This 400-nucleotide ribosomal RNA is filed under the name uncultured bacterium. RNAcentral describes it as "bacterial SSU rRNA". It matches the Rfam family "Bacterial small subunit ribosomal RNA", at positions 356 to 773 of the family's 1533-position model. The record is from RNAcentral.